RNAcentral lists this transfer RNA (76 nucleotides) under Paludisphaera borealis. RNAcentral describes it as "tRNA-Glu". It matches the Rfam family "tRNA". Rfam says of the family: Transfer RNA (tRNA) molecules are approximately 80 nucleotides in length. Their secondary structure includes four short double-helical elements and three loops (D, anti-codon, and T loops). Lineage: Bacteria; Pseudomonadati; Planctomycetota; Planctomycetia; Isosphaerales; Isosphaeraceae. The record is from RNAcentral.
AGCCCCUUCGACUAAGGGUUAGGUCACGUCCCUUUCAAGGACGGAGUGCUGGGUUCAAUUCCCGCAGGGGCUGCCA